Molecule: ribosomal RNA, 118 nt
Filed under: Beauveria bassiana
Lineage: Eukaryota; Fungi; Ascomycota; Sordariomycetes; Hypocreales; Cordycipitaceae
Description: partial 18S ribosomal RNA
Rfam family: Eukaryotic small subunit ribosomal RNA
Source: RNAcentral
GCCCCAGGGAGGUGGGCAACUACCCCCCCAGGGCCGGAAAGCUCUCCAAACUCGGUCAUUUAGAGGAAGUAAAAGUCGUAACAAGGUCUCCGUUGGUGAACCAGCGGAGGGAUCAUUA